This 483-nucleotide ribosomal RNA is filed under the name Tylos sp. clade G MM-2013. RNAcentral's name for it is "partial 16S large subunit ribosomal RNA". It matches the Rfam family "Archaeal large subunit ribosomal RNA", at positions 1924 to 2666 of the family's 2987-position model. The record is from RNAcentral. Lineage: Eukaryota; Metazoa; Arthropoda; Malacostraca; Isopoda; Tylidae.
CGCCAGAAUUUCUUCUGGUAGGAUCUGCCCACUGAGCAUUAAAUGGCCGCAGUACCCUGACUGUGCUAAGGUAGCAUAAUAAUUCGUCUUUUAAUUAAAGGCUAGUAUGAAUGAUUUGACGAAAGAAAAUCUGUCUUAGCUUAUUAAAAAAAAAUUAACCUAGAAGUUAAAAGGCUUCUAUUUCCUAAAAGGACGACAAGACCCUAUAAAGCUUUAUUUAUAAUAUUUUUAUUUACUUCAAUAAAAAAAUAUGAAUUUAUAAAUUCUAUUGGGGCGAUAGAUAAAUAAACAUUAUUGACUAUAACGUUUUUAACGAAAUUUAUAAAAUGUUUUUAAAACCUACAACAAGUUACUUUAGGGAUAACAGCAUAAUUUCUUUUUAGAGUCCUUAUCGACAAAGAAGAUUAUGACCUCGAUGUUGAAUUGAGUUACUAUUUUUAUGGAGAUAUAAAAAGUAGAAGUCUGUUCGACUUUUAAUUUCUC